Molecule: ribosomal RNA, 299 nt
Filed under: Amallothrix valida
Lineage: Eukaryota; Metazoa; Arthropoda; Copepoda; Calanoida; Scolecitrichidae
Description: partial 16S rRNA
Source: RNAcentral
AAUUAGUUUUUUAAUUGAAAAAUAGAAUGAAUGGUUUCACUAAAAAUAUUUUUUUAUGGUUUAUUUAAAAAUUUCAAGUUUAGUGAAAAUGCUAAAAAUUAUUUAUUAGACAAAAAGACCCUAUGAAACUAUUAAAAUUAAGAUUUAUACGAUAAUAAAGUAUUUUAAUUUUUUGGGGUAAAAUUUAAAAAUUUUAUUAUAAAAAAAAUUUAAUUUUAAUUGAGCCUUAAGGAAGCAUGAAAAAGUUCCUCUAGGGAUAACAGCAUAAUAUUUAAAAAAGUUCUUAUUAGAAUAAGUGU